CCUACGGUGGGCAGCAGUGGGGAAUAUUGGGCAAUGGGCGCAAGCCUGACCCAGCAACGCCGCGUGAAGGAAGAAGGCUUUCGGGUUGUAAACUUCUUUUAUGAGGGACGAAAGAAAUGACGGUACCUCAUGAAUAAGCCACUGCUAACUACGUGACAGCAGCCGCGGUAAUCCGUAGGUGGCAAACAUUAUCCGGAUUUACUGGGUGUAAAGGGCGUUUAGGCGGGACUGCACGUCAGAUGUGAAAAUUAUGGGUUCAACCCCUCACCUGCAUGUGAAACUGUAGUUCUUGAGAGAUGGAGAGGCAGACGGAAUUCCGUGUGUAGCGGUGAAAUGCGUAGAUAUACGGAGGAACACCAGUGGCGAAGGCGGCCUGCUGGACAUUAACUGACGCUGAGGCGCGAAAGCGUGGGGAGCAAACAGGAUUAGAUACCCGAGUAGUC
This 443-nucleotide ribosomal RNA is filed under the name uncultured bacterium. RNAcentral's name for it is "partial 16S ribosomal RNA". It matches the Rfam family "Bacterial small subunit ribosomal RNA", at positions 338 to 795 of the family's 1533-position model. The record is from RNAcentral.